GCUGGGCAUGGUGGCGCAUGCCUGUAGUCCCAGCUACUCAGGAGGCUGAGGCAGGAUAAUUGCUUGAACCUGGGAGGCGGAGGUUGCAGUGAGCAGAUAUAGCACCACUGCACUCCAGCCUGGGUGACAAAGUGAGACUCUGUCUCAG
This 148-nucleotide small RNA is filed under the name Callithrix jacchus (white-tufted-ear marmoset). Its description in RNAcentral is "Metazoan signal recognition particle RNA (ENSCJAG00000085104.1)". Lineage: Eukaryota; Metazoa; Chordata; Mammalia; Primates; Cebidae. The record is from Rfam by way of RNAcentral.